RNAcentral lists this small RNA (20 nucleotides) under Arabidopsis thaliana (thale cress). Its description in RNAcentral is "Ath_wt_11506". Lineage: Eukaryota; Viridiplantae; Streptophyta; Magnoliopsida; Brassicales; Brassicaceae. The record is from RNAcentral.
CUGGAGCUCGGACGCGAGUU